Molecule: ribosomal RNA, 731 nt
Filed under: uncultured bacterium
Lineage: Bacteria
Description: bacterial SSU rRNA
Rfam family: Bacterial small subunit ribosomal RNA
Source: RNAcentral
GAGACUGGGAUAACACCUGGAAACAGAUGCUAAUACCGGAUAACAACACUAGACGCAUGUCUAGAGUUUAAAAGAUGGUUCUGCUAUCACUCUUGGAUGGACCUGCGGUGCAUUAGCUAGUUGGUAAGGUAACGGCUUACCAAGGCAAUGAUGCAUAGCCGAGUUGAGAGACUGAUCGGCCACAUUGGGACUGAGACACGGCCCAAACUCCUACGGGAGGCAGCAGUAGGGAAUCUUCCACAAUGGACGCAAGUCUGAUGGAGCAACGCCGCGUGAGUGAAGAAGGGUUUCGGCUCGUAAAGCUCUGUUGGUAGUGAAGAAAGAUAGAGGUAGUAACUGGCCUUUAUUUGACGGUAAUUACCUAGAAAGUCACGGCUAACUACGUGCCAGCAGCCGCGGUAAUACGUAGGUGGCAAGCGUUGUCCGGAUUUAUUGGGCGUAAAGCGAGUGCAGGCGGUUCAAUAAGUCUGAUGUGAAAGCCUUCGGCUCAACCGGAGAAUUGCAUCAGAAACUGUUGAACUUGAGUGCAGAAGAGGAGAGUGGAACUCCAUGUGUAGCGGUGGAAUGCGUAGAUAUAUGGAAGAACACCAGUGGCGAAGGCGGCUCUCUGGUCUGCAACUGACGCUGAGGCUCGAAAGCAAGGGUAGCGAACAGGAUUAGAUACCCUGGUAGUCCAUGCCGUAAACGAUGAGUGCUAAGUGUUGGGAGGUUUCCGCCUCUCAGUGCUGCAG